Molecule: ribosomal RNA, 446 nt
Filed under: uncultured bacterium
Lineage: Bacteria
Description: partial 16S ribosomal RNA
Rfam family: Bacterial small subunit ribosomal RNA
Source: RNAcentral
CCUACGGGUGGCAGCAGUCGAGAAUCAUUCACAAUGGGGGAAACCCUGAUGGUGCGACGCCGCGUGGGGGAAUAAAGGUCUUCGGAUUGUAAACCCCUGUCAUGUGGGAGCAAAUUAAAAAGAUAGUACCACAAGAGGAAGAGACGGCUAACUCUGUGCCAGCAGCCGCGGUAAUACAGCGGUCUCAAGCGUUGUUCGGAAGCACUGUGCGUAAAGCGUGCGUAGGCUGUUUCGUAAGUCGUGUGUGAAAGGCGCGGGCUCAACCCGCGGACGGCACAUGAUACUGCGAGACUAGAGUAAGGGAGGGGGAAGCGGAAUGCGCGGUGUAGCAGUGAAAUGCGUAGAUAUCGAGAGGAACACUCGUGGCGAAGGCGGGUUCCUGGACAUUAACUGACGCUGAGGCACGAAGGCCAGGGGAGCGAAAGGGAUUAGAUACCCGGGUAGUC